ACUGUGAAGCCUGGACGCUAGUUCGGGUGGAGUCAUCGUUGAAAUACCACUCUGGUCACUCUGGAUAUCUAACUUCGGCCCGUAAUCCGGGUCAGGGACAGUGCCUGAUGGGUAGUUUAACUGGGGCGGUUGCCUCCUAAAAAGUAACGGAGGCGCCCAAAGGUUCCCUCAGCCUGGUUGGCAAUCAGGUGGCGAGUGUAAGUGCACAAGGGAGCUUGACUGUGAGAGAGACAUCUCAAGCAGGGACGAAAGUCGGGACUAGUGAUCCGGCGGCACAUUGUGGAAUGGCCGUCGCUCAACGGAUAAAAGGUACCUCGGGGAUAACAGGCUGAUCUUGCCCAAGAGUCCAUAUCGACGGCAUGGUUUGGCACCUCGAUGUCGGCUCGUCGCAUCCUGGGGCUGGAGUAGGUCCCAAGGGUUGGGCUGUUCGCCCAUUAAAGCGGUACGCGAGCUGGGUUUAGAACGUCGUGAGACAGUUCGGUCCCUAUCCGCUGCGCGCGCAGGAAAUUUGAGAAGGGCUGUCCUUAGUACGAGAGGACCGGGACGGACGAACCUCUGGUGUGUCAGUUGUACUGCCAAGUGCACCGCUGAUUAGCUACGUUCGGAUGGGAUAACCGCUGAAAGCAUCUAAGCGGGAAGCCUGCUUCAAGAUGAGAUUUCCAUACACCUUGAGUGUGAGAGGCCCCCAGCCAGACCACUGGGUUGAUAGGCCGGAUGUGGAAGCAAGGACUAACGACUUGCGAAGCUGACCGGUACUAAUAAGCCGAUAACUUACACCA
RNAcentral lists this ribosomal RNA (779 nucleotides) under Arthrobacter sp. H41. Its description in RNAcentral is "bacterial LSU rRNA". It matches the Rfam family "Bacterial large subunit ribosomal RNA", at positions 2154 to 2925 of the family's 2925-position model. Lineage: Bacteria; Bacillati; Actinomycetota; Actinomycetes; Micrococcales; Micrococcaceae. The record is from RNAcentral.